AAUGAACGCUGGCGGCGCGCCUAAUACAUGCAAGUCGAGCGGUAAGGCCCUUUCGGGGGUACACGAGCGGCGAACGGGUGAGUAACACGUGGGUGACCUGCCCUCAGCUCUGGGAUAAGCCCGGGAAACUGGGUCUAAUACCGGAUAUGACUCCAUGACGCAUGUUGUGGGGUGGAAAGCCUUGUGCGGCUGAGGAUGGGCCCGCGGCCUAUCAGCUUGUUGGUGGGGUGAUGGCCUACCAAGGCGACGACGGGUAGCCGGCCUGAGAGGGCGACCGGCCACACUGGGACUGAGACACGGGCCCAGACUCCUACGGGAGGCAGCAGUGGGGAAUCUUGCGCAAUGGGCGAAAGCCUGACGCAGCGACGCCGCGUGAGGGAUGAC
Molecule: ribosomal RNA, 384 nt
Filed under: uncultured bacterium
Lineage: Bacteria
Description: bacterial SSU rRNA
Rfam family: Bacterial small subunit ribosomal RNA
Source: RNAcentral